This 2055-nucleotide long non-coding RNA is filed under the name Eutrema salsugineum. RNAcentral describes it as "long non-coding RNA (ESAL_LNC000762)". Lineage: Eukaryota; Viridiplantae; Streptophyta; Magnoliopsida; Brassicales; Brassicaceae. The record is from RNAcentral.
UAUAGAAAUUAUUUUGAUAAUCGAUAUUGAUAUCUAUAUUUUCUAAAGAAAUUUUUCUCCAGUAUAAAUGUUAUUUCAAUAUAUUUCGUCAGUUAAAUUACAUUUUGUUUUAAACUCUUGUUCACUUUGACCGAGGUAUAUUAGAUAUCACUGACAAAAGUUACAGUAAACUAUAUAUAUAUAUAUUUAUAUAUCUUUUUGUUCGUAAAUACAAUAAAAUAUAUAUAACGACAUUUAUUAUGAAAUAUAUAAAGUAACUCAUGAAAUGGUUAAAUUAAAAAUCCUAGCAAAAGGUGAAUUUUUCUGGUGACAUUUUCGUCGGCCUGUUGCUUCGGCGGUCUUCGUCCUUCCGAUGGUGGUACCAGUAGAUAGUUUUUGUUGCUUUCUUUUAUUUGUUUUCUUUGCUGGUUCAUCGGUUGGAAUGAGGGGUUGAAGAUGGAUCUGAAAUUCUAGAUUUGGUUUUUUGAAUCUAGAUCUGUUUUUUUUUUGAGUCUCAUGUGGUAUUUGGUAAAGGGGUCUGUAUUUCUCUGUUGGUCGAGCAGUUCCUCUGCAUUCAUCAUCGUCUGCUAUUUUGCUAUUGUUGUCUGGUUCUAUUGAUCAGAGGGUCAUGUGGUUUAUAGUGUUUAGUUUGCAGAUUUGCCAAUGAUAUCCGGAGUUAAAGCAUCGUCGUUUACCUGGUUUCGAGAGAUGGUUUAGUUAAGUUCUAUUUAUUUUUAGUUUUUUUUUCAGUCUUAUUUUUUUGUGAAAAUUCCUCAGACUAACCUUUAAGGUUAAUGAAAUGACAAACCUAACCUAACAUAUUGAAGGGCUUACUAGACUAACCUUAUAAAGUUGGUUUAAGUCCAUUUUAUCCAGAUGUUGAAUAUUAUUACGAAAAUGUCAUUAUGAUUUUUUUUAUAUAAAUUUUUUUUUUUCAAAAAAACUUUAAUUUCGAAAAAAACUUUUUAAAAAAUCAAAAUUUUUUUUGACGAAAAAAAACAUUUUUUUAAAACGAAAAAAGCAAAAAAAAAAAACACAAAACCAAAAACUAAAAAAAAAAAACCCUAAUUCAUCUUCUUCUCUCCCUCUUUCUCCUGCGCCAAUUUUUUUUUCUCCCAUGAAGCUGCUCUUCUUCAUAACUUGGCAGCUUCCCUUUUUUCACAGCUUUCUCUUCACAGCUUUCCUUUUGUUUCACAGAUCCACACAGAUUUUGCCUCAAUCGCCAUUCAGAAACUUGUUCAGGUUUGUUUUUUUUCUCAUUUUCUUAUUUUUUCUUCUUUCUUCUUCGUCUUCCUCUUUCCCUUCGUCUUCUACUUUCUGUUUGGCGGAGGAGGAGUUUUACUGUUGGUGUUCGAGAUCUCGGAAAUAUUGGCACGACUCUUAAGCGGUGUUCUCGCUGCAUCGCGCACAACCGCACUGGACAGAUGUUGUUUCGAAGAAAUGGUGGUGUCCCGGAGGUUGACGGCGGUGUAAGUUUUUUUCUGUAAAACCCGCAACCCUAAUUUUUUUUGUUUCAUGUAAGUUUGGUAGAUAUAUUUGGAAAACGAUAAGUAGUUUGGUAGAUUUAUUGUAUUUUUUUGUUGUAAAGUUCAUAAUAUGUGAUGGUAGAUUUUUUUGAAAAACGAUAUGUAGUUUGGUAGAUUAUUAGUUAUUUGAUGGUAGAUAUUUAGAAAACGAAAUAUGGUUUGGUAGAUUUAUUAGUUAUUUGAUGGUAAAAUUAUUUUAGAGUAAAAACGAUGUCAUUUGGUAGAUUUAUUAGUCAUCUAAUGAUAGACUUAUUUGUAAAACGAUGUGGUUUUGUAGAUUUAUUAGUCAUUUAAUGGUAACUUAUUUGAAAAAUGAUUUGUGUUUGGUAGAUUUAUUAGUUGUUUAUGGUAGAUUUAUCAGUCGUAUAUAUUUGAAUUUUAUAUACGAAUGACAGUAUCUGUUUAUUUUUUUCUGACAGAUUAUGAGCUUUGCCAUAGUGAACAAAUCUUUGAUGGGAUAUCCAGCAUCGAUCCGACAUGUUUUACUAUGAAUUGUAGAUUUGCAUUUGGUAGAUUUUUUUUGAAAUAAUGGUAGAUUGAUUAUGAAAUU